AAUGGUCAACAUUGCUGCUCUGCUCUUCAUGAUUAAAGUUGGCAGUGACAGGAGCCAGGUGGUCCUGAUUCCCAGGCUGCUGAAGGAGCUGGUGCCAUGGACCAACUGAAGGCCAUGUCUGAAAAUGAGUGGAAGAAGAGUAUUGUUGCCUCUUGUAACAAACAAGUUGGUAUGACGGUUGAAGAAGCUAAGGUGGCGUUUCUGAAGGCAGUCUGCCGUGGCCGACGUUCGGCUGUGCAUUCUUUGAAGU
Long non-coding RNA from Etheostoma spectabile (orangethroat darter), 250 nucleotides. RefSeq lists it as uncharacterized. The transcript is spliced from 2 exons. The record is from RefSeq and is a predicted model, not a curated record. Lineage: Eukaryota; Metazoa; Chordata; Actinopteri; Perciformes; Percidae.